RNAcentral lists this long non-coding RNA (921 nucleotides) under Marmota monax (woodchuck). Lineage: Eukaryota; Metazoa; Chordata; Mammalia; Rodentia; Sciuridae. The record is from RNAcentral.
CCCAUCAGGGGUUGCUAGAGAGGCUGACAGGUUGAUGACAACCCACUCCAACUGGAAGGGAAAGGAAGCAAGUCUGCAGGGGACCCUGCCUCCUGACUUCUGCUUGGAAAAAGUGCGCAGCCUGGGCUGCUGUCCUGAGCCGCGGUCUCCAUCCUGCCUGCCCUGAUCCCUGCGUGCAUGUUCCUGGACUCUGUGCUGGUCAACAGGUGCACACAGUUGUUCUGAGGUACCUUGACCUUGACCAAAGGACACAGUGACCACACUCAGGCACAAGCGGUCCUCCUGGCCACUGUGUAAUUCUUAUAGAUGAGGAUAUGUUGCUCCUGUAUUUGCUAGUUUUACGCUGCCACUUGCCAGUUCUAUAAGAGCUUUUCCUAGAAGGAAAAGAAGAAAAAAUCCAUCUGUUUAGAAAAGAAGUGAGUGGGAUCUCCUACCCAGGGAGGAACCCUGGUGCCGAGGGGACUGGGUCUGAGAUGGAGCCUCCACUGUGUGGUUGGCACUACAGGAUCUUCACCAGCACCUGCCCUCUCUGUCUCUGGUUUCUUCUUCUGGCCCCUGCCCUUUCCAUCUCCUGAGCGUGUGAGAAAGUCCCGGGAGAGGACGAGUAUAGCAGGGCUCUGAGACACACAGGGUGCUGUCUGCAGCUGGCCUCCGGGUCACCCUGUGAUGUGGCCCCACGCGAGGAUGCUGGCCGGCCGUGUGAGAUAGCAGAUGUGGGAGCCCCUGUGUGUGAUACCGCCUGAGCUAGACGGAGCCUGAUUAGUGCGAGGAGUGAUUAUCGGUGAUAACAAUGCCGUUUUGCCACCUGCCAUCGAGACAUUUCUGUAGCUGUGUGACUUCACAAGGACGUGAACUUUGCAUGCUGGGUUUGCCCAGCUGUAAAAUGAGCUAUCUCCGGGGACAGCAGGCACAGCCAGCUCC